Meriones unguiculatus (Mongolian gerbil) is the source of this 352-nucleotide long non-coding RNA. RefSeq lists it as uncharacterized. Lineage: Eukaryota; Metazoa; Chordata; Mammalia; Rodentia; Muridae. The transcript has 3 exons. The record is from RefSeq and is a predicted model, not a curated record.
AAAGAAGGAGGAGAAGAAGGAGGAGGAGAAGGAGGAAAAACACUCACAGACUUUGAAGUCAGCCCCAUGUAGGAACAGACUCUGAUUCUGGAUGUGGAUUCCAGAGCCUCUUCCUCACAACUGCUGUGGAGUAAAUGUCAAGUCCGCUACCCAAGGACUCCUGUGACUCAGUGACCUUCUGACAAGCUCUCCGGGUACCCAGAUUCCAGGAAAACAAUGCUAGAUUUCACACCAGAUGCUGCUCAGACCCGUCUCUUUCCUCCUUUUACACCUGGGCAUCAGAGACCGCUGAAUGACAAGCAGUGCUAUGGAUCAUCAACCUACCCUUCCCCUGAGACUUGUAUAAGUGCCC